CCCGAGCCUUCUUCUUGGUUUUUCACCCUCCUCUCCUCGCCUCAACCUCCCCAGGUAGGUGCCUCUAAUGCUGAAAUGCUGGUUGAAUUAGAUUGAAUAAAUUCAGUUGAACUUUUGAAAGCUCUAAAACAAAACAAAAAAGCAAAUAGUCAUUUUCACCCGAGUUCAUACAACAAAUCAUUUUCAUUAAAGUUUGAAGGGGACUUCAGACGAAAGUAGAAAGAGCAGAUGUAUGAGAAAGACGCUCACCCCCUCAGUUUUGGCACUGACUUUUUUUUAAGAAGUCUUCACAUAGGUGGUACUAAGUUAUAAUUUAACUCUCAAGUUAACUAUAGGGGCCCUUGUCUUUCAAGUCAUACAAACACACAAGGCUUUAAUGAUUUUUAACUGAAAGAAAAAAAACAGAAAACAUGCCAUAUGAAAAUCACUUCUCCUUCUAACACCAGUCCUCUGG
Molecule: long non-coding RNA, 454 nt
Filed under: Bos taurus (domestic cattle)
Lineage: Eukaryota; Metazoa; Chordata; Mammalia; Artiodactyla; Bovidae
Description: long non-coding RNA NONBTAT012114
Source: RNAcentral